This 279-nucleotide ribosomal RNA is filed under the name uncultured bacterium. RNAcentral's name for it is "partial 16S ribosomal RNA". It matches the Rfam family "Bacterial small subunit ribosomal RNA", at positions 215 to 509 of the family's 1533-position model. The record is from RNAcentral.
ACGUCGAAGGGUGGGCUCGCGUCCGAUUAGAUAGUUGGUGAGGUAACGGCCCACCAAGUCGACGAUCGGUAGCCGACCUGAGAGGGUGAUCGGCCACAUUGGGACUGAGACACGGCCCAAACUCCUACGGGAGGCAGCAGUGGGGAAUAUUGGGCAAUGGGGGAAACCCUGACCCAGCAACGCCGCGUGAGGGAAGAAGGUUUUCGGAUCGUAAACCUCUGUCCUUGGUGAAGAGGAAGAGACGGUAGCCAAGGAGGAAGCCCCGGCUAACUACGUGCC